This is a long non-coding RNA of Mangifera indica (mango), 953 nucleotides long. RefSeq lists it as uncharacterized. The record is from RefSeq and is a predicted model, not a curated record. Lineage: Eukaryota; Viridiplantae; Streptophyta; Magnoliopsida; Sapindales; Anacardiaceae. The transcript is spliced from 6 exons.
UAUCGCGUGAUCCAAAAGGUUUGAUAACCUGCAAAAACACCCCAUAUAAUACCCUUCCCAUCUUCAAAAUCACCGCCAAUCUAUUUUGCAAUCCUUGAAUUACAAACUAGAAAUUUGUGCAGUCAGAGAGAAUGCCUUCUGAUCCAAUGCUUAACGCUCCAGCUUGUUCCCUCUCCAAGGAUUUGGGCAAGAAAAAGAGGCCAAGAGGAGUGAUCAUUCACAUGUUAUCAAUGCUAUACUAGUCAAUCUGGAACUGAUGAAUUUGCUGAAGUGCUUUUGACGGUGAAUACACCUUUCAAAUGGGGUCUGAGUAUCCAGCAGGUUGAUAUUGCUACUGGAAAAGCAAUGUCAAAGCAAAUGCUCCAGUUAAGGAAAUAGCUAUAUGCAAUAUAAGGAAGUAUUUCAUGUCUGGCUUCGGAAUUGGAUUUAUCAGAAAGAAAAAUAGUCUUGUACACAAGCUCGAUAAUAUACAUUCUUUGCAGAAGAGAGUUUUUCCGUCUGACUUGAACUGGCUGGCUUGUACUGGGUCUUGUGGGUUGAAGGAAGAUCUCCAAUUAUUCAAGAGACCAGUCCUGUUUGCGAUCACAAACCCUUCAAUAUAAUCAAAUGUGUUUUCUACAGAUAUCAAAUGCUCCUGGUCCGUGGCAAAUGUAUUGAAAUCAGAGUGCUCGUUCCAGUGAUAUUCUGGCCCUUGUGAUGAUGCCAAACUGACCUAGUCCUCCAAGGACACUGUGAAAGAGGUCACUAUUCUGCUUCUCUGAACAGUUCACAAUCUCCCCUUUUCCUGCACUCAGUUUCAGCCCAAUUUUUAACCUGUAACUACUUCCAGCUGAUGGACAUUACUUAUCUGGGGGCCAUGCCGAAAGGCCUGCCCGCUGAUCCCAGCAUUUGACAAAGUACCACCAACAGUUAAAUGCAGGUAGUCUGUCCAAGAUUUUGGUGCUAACCCAUAU